UACGGAGGAUCCAAGCGUUAUCCGGAUUUAUUGGGUUAAAAGGGUGCGUAGGCGGCUUAUUAAGUCAGGGGUGAAAGACGGUGGCUCAACCAUCGCAGUGCCCUUGAUACUGAUGAGCUUGAAUACACUUGAGGUAGGCGGAAUGUGACAAGUAGCGGUGAAAUGCAUAGAUAUGUCACAGAACACCAAUUGCGAAGGCAGCUUACUAAGGUGCAAUUGACGCUGAGGCACGAAAGCGUGGGGAUCAAACAGG
RNAcentral lists this ribosomal RNA (253 nucleotides) under uncultured bacterium. RNAcentral describes it as "partial 16S ribosomal RNA". It matches the Rfam family "Bacterial small subunit ribosomal RNA", at positions 524 to 776 of the family's 1533-position model. The record is from RNAcentral.